CAGUAGCCGCGGGAAUACGAAGGGGGCUAGCGUUGCUCGGAAUGACUGGGCGUAAAGGGCGCGUUGGCGGCUGACACAGUCAGAUGUGAAAUUCCUGGGCUCAACCUGGGGACUGCAUUUGAGACGUGUUGGCUUGAGUGGAGAAGAGGGUCGUGGAAUUUCCAGUGUAGAGGUGAAAUUCGUAGAUAUUGGAAAGAACACCGGUGGCGAAGGCGGCGACCUGGUUCAUGAUUGACGCUGAGGCGCGAAAGCGUGGGGAGCAAACAGGAUUAGAUACCCCCGUAGUCCCUGUCUCUUAUAC
RNAcentral lists this ribosomal RNA (301 nucleotides) under uncultured bacterium. Its description in RNAcentral is "partial 16S ribosomal RNA". It matches the Rfam family "Bacterial small subunit ribosomal RNA", at positions 509 to 807 of the family's 1533-position model. The record is from RNAcentral.